AGGUCAAGCGAACAAGGGCGCAGGGCGAAUGCCUUGGCACUGGGAGCCGAUGAAAGACGUGAUAAGCUGCGAUAAGCUUCGGGGAGCUGCAAAUAAGCAUUGAUCCGGAGAUUUCUGAAUGAGGAAACUCACCUGGGUUCAUACUCAGGUACGUUAUACUGAACUUAAAAAUAGGUAUAUCGAGGGAACCGCCUGAACUGAAACAUCUAAGUAGGGCGAGGAAGAGACAUCAAACGAGAUUCCGUAAGUAGUGGCGAGCGAACGCGGAAGAGGGCAAACCGGGAGUAGAAAUACUCCCGGGGUACGGACUGCUUUUAGGACUUAAUCUGUUAACCGAACGGCAUGGGAAGGCCGGUCAGAGAGUGUGAGAACCACGUAGGUGAAAACGGAGAGAGCUGCGCAGGAUCCAGAGUACGGCCAGACACGUGAAACCUGGUCGGAAUACGGGGGGACCACCCUCCAACCCUAAAUACUACCCAGUGACCGAUAGCGUAUAGUACUGUGAAGGAAAGGUGAAAAGCACCCCGGGAGGGGAGUGAAAAAGAACCUGAAACCCUGUGCCUACAAGCACCUAGAGCACGUCAAUGUGUGAUAGGGUACUUUUUGUAGAACGGUCCGGCGAGCGAUUGUAUGCAGCAAGGUUAAGGACUUAAGGUCUGGAGCCGAAGCGAAAGCGAGUUUGAAAAGGGCGUUAAGUUGCAUACAAUGGGCCCGAAACCGGGUGACCUACCCAUGGUCAGGUUGAAGUGGAAGUAAAAUUCCAUGGAGGACCGAACCGACCUCCGUUGAAAAGGCGGCGGAUGAACUGUGGGUAGCGGAGAAAUUCCAAUCGAACCCGGAGAUAGCUGGUUCUCCCCGAAAUAGUUUUAGGACUAGCCUCAAGUUAGAUACCUGGAGGUAAAGCACUGAAUAGCCUAGCGGCCGAGAGGUUAGCGAAGCUUAUCAAACUCAGAAUGCCAGAGUAUUGAUGCUUGGGAGUCAGACAGUGUCAGAUAAAUGUCAUUGUCAAAAGGGAAACAGCCCAGAUCUACAGCUAAGGUCCCAAAGUCAGGUUAAGUGGAAAACGAUGUGAAGAUACGUAGACAACCAGGAUGUUGGCUCAGAAGCAGCCACACAUUCAAAGAGUGCGUAAUAGCUCACUGGUCGAGCGUCUUUGCGCGGAGAAUUUAACGGGGCUAAACCUGACACCGAAGCUUAGGCAAUACAGCAAUGUAUUGGGUAGGGGAGCGUUGUAUACGCGGUGAAACAGUAGCGCAAGCGGCUGUGGAGUGUAUAGAAGUGAGAAUGCCGGAAUGAGUAGCGCGAAUGCAGUGAGAAUCUGCAUGGCCGAAAGCCUCAGGUUUCUGGAGGAAGGUUCGUCCGCUCCAGGUUAGUCGGGAGCUAAGGUGAGGCCUAACGGCGUAGCCGAUGCACAGACGGUAGAGAUUCCGUCACCACCAAAAGAGUUAAACACAGGGACACAUUUGAAGUCUCGGAGCCGGGUGUUGGUUCCGGUAGCGAUCGAGGGAAGUUAGUACCGAAGUCCGGGAUGGAAGAUGGCGAGAAAAGCUGUGUGUAUUUCUGCGGUGCCCGUACCGCAAACCGACACAGGUAGGUAGGAAGAAGAUUCUAAGGCCAACGGGAGAAGGGUUGUUAAGGAACUCGGCAAAUUGACCCCGUAACUUCGGGAGAAGGGGUGCUCCAGAGAUGGAGCCGCAGAGAAUCGGCCCAAGCAACUGUUUACCAAAAACACAGGUUUGUGCUAAAUCGAAAGAUGACGUAUACGAGCUGACGCCUGCCCGGUGCUGGAAGGUUAAGAGGAGAUGUGCAAGCAUUGAAUCGAAGCCCCAGUGAACGGCGGCCGUAACUAUAACGGUCCUAAGGUAGCGAAAUUCCUUGUCAGGUAAGUUCUGACCCGCAUGAAAGGCGUAAUGAUUUGGGCACUGUCUCGACAGCCCGCCCGGCGAAAUUGUAGUACCGGUGAAGAUGCCGGUUACCCGCGACAAGACGGAAAGACCCCAUGGAGCUUUACUGUAGCCUAAUAUUGGGUUUCGAUGUUGCAUGCACAGGAUAGAUGGGACACNCAAGUGCUUUGGCAUUUGUGGAGUGGCCGUUGGGAUACCAUCCUUGCGAUAUUGGAAUUCUAACCUGCGCCUUUGAAUCAAGGCGGGGGACAUUGUUAGGUGGGCAGUUUGACUGGGGCGGUCGCCUCCUAAAGAGUAACGGAGGCGUUCAAAGGUUCGCUCAGCUUGAACGGAAAUCAAGCAAAAGAGUGCAAACGCAGAAGCGAGCCUAACUGCGAGACUGACGGGUCGAGCAGUAACGAAAGUUGGAGUUAGUGAUCCGGUGGUAUGUGAGUGGAAAUGCCAUCGCUCAACGGAUAAAAGUUACCCUGGGGAUAACAGGCUGAUCUCCCCCAAGAGUCCACAUCGACGGGGAGGUUUGGCACCUCGAUGUCGGCUCAUCGCAUCCUGGGGCUGUAUUCGGUCCCAAGGGUUUGGCUGUUCGCCAAUUAAAGCGGUACGCGAGCUGGGUUCAGAACGUCGUGAGACAGUUCGGUCCCUAUCUGUCGUGGGCGCAGGAUAUUUGAUGGGAGCUGUUCCUAGUACGAGAGGACCGGAGCGGACGUACCUCUGGCGCACCAGUUGUUCUGCCAAGGGCAUAGCUGGGCAACUAUGUACGGAUCGGAUAAACGCUGAAAGCAUCUAAGCGUGAAGCCGACCCAAAGAUAAGAUAUCCCAUUGUUUCAAACAAGUAAGACCCCUUGAAGACUACAAGGUUGAUAGGCACGAUGUGUAAGUGGAGUGAUCCAUUCAGCAAGCGUGUACUAAUAGGUCGAGGGCUUGACCACA
This 2831-nucleotide ribosomal RNA is filed under the name Faecalibacterium prausnitzii. RNAcentral describes it as "23S ribosomal RNA". It matches the Rfam family "Bacterial large subunit ribosomal RNA". The record is from RNAcentral. Lineage: Bacteria; Bacillati; Bacillota; Clostridia; Eubacteriales; Oscillospiraceae.